CGCGCGCCGAACGGACGCCGCCGCGCUGCAAGCCCGCGCCCUGGGUCCCCGAGGGGAGCCUGCGGCGGCCCUUAGUGGAGGCGGCCGGGCUGGGGGCCACGGCGAGGAGGCCGAGCGCCCCGGCCAGAGAUAUUACAACUUUCACAAAAUUCACUUCGCUUUCAGUCAAAACCAGAAAUUAGAUAACAGAAAUGCCACACUGCCAACACCGACCGGGAGGAAAGCCUCGUUGGCGGAGACCGCUCAACAGAGGCCUCCACGUGUUCUCCCAGCCCGGGUCGCAGGUGAAGGGGGAGUGCCUCCUGCAGGGACCGGUCUCCCGCAGACACUCAACCUCCGGAAUGUAAAACACCUGUUAAUAAUUGUCAAGCGUCUGUUAAUUUCCAAAUACAGUUUUUGAAAGUUGUAUGCACUAGAUAAAAUAAUUUAAUGUUUGGAAGUAUGUGAAAGACAGACAUUAGAUUGAGACAAAUUAAAAACUUGUUCCCAAGUUAACAGCUCUGUUGACGAUUGUUAUUAGUUUGACUAAUUUUAAGAGGACUCUUAGUCUUACAUAAAGAAUCUUGCACCUAAAAAUUUUCUCCUACAACUUUAAAAAACUUUAAAAAGUUUUUUUUUUUUUCUUCCGAGAUGGAGUCUCUGUCACCCCCAGGCUGGCGUGCAGUGGCAUGAUCUCAGCUCACUGCAGCCUCCACUCCCUGGCUCAAGCCAUCCUCCCAUUUCAGCCUCUGCAGUAGCUGGGACUAUAGGUGCAUCCAUCACACCUAGCUAAUUUUUGUAUUUUUGGUAGAGAUGGGGUUUCACCAUGUUGCUCAGGCUGGUUUCAAACUCUUGGUCUCAAGCAAUCCACCCACCUCAGCCUCCCAAUGUGCUUGGAUUGCAGGCGUGAGCCACCAUGCCCAGCCUAAAGAGUGUCUGUAUUUUGAACUGUAUGGUAGAAAAGCACAAA
Long non-coding RNA from Symphalangus syndactylus (siamang), 949 nucleotides. RefSeq lists it as uncharacterized. The record is from RefSeq and is a predicted model, not a curated record. Lineage: Eukaryota; Metazoa; Chordata; Mammalia; Primates; Hylobatidae.